This 845-nucleotide ribosomal RNA is filed under the name uncultured bacterium. Its description in RNAcentral is "bacterial SSU rRNA". It matches the Rfam family "Bacterial small subunit ribosomal RNA", at positions 8 to 812 of the family's 1533-position model. The record is from RNAcentral.
AGAGUUUGAUCCUGGCUCAGGACGAACGCUGGCGGCGUGCCUAAUACAUGCAAGUCGAACGCACUCUCGUUUAGAUUGAAGGAGCUUGCUCCUGAUUGAUAAACAUUUGAGUGAGUGGCGGACGGGUGAGUAACACGUGGGUAACCUGCCCUAAAGUGGGGGAUAACAUUUGGAAACAGAUGCUAAUACCGCAUAAAACCUAACACCGCAUGGUGUAGGGUUGAAAGAUGGUUUCGGCUAUCACUUUAGGAUGGACCCGCGGUGCAUUAGUUAGUUGGUGAGGUAAAGGCUCACCAAGACCGUGAUGCAUAGCCGACCUGAGAGGGUAAUCGGCCACACUGGGACUGAGACACGGCCCAGACUCCUACGGGAGGCAGCAGUAGGGAAUCUUCCACAAUGGACGAAAGUCUGAUGGAGCAACGCCGCGUGAGUGAAGAAGGUUUUCGGAUCGUAAAACUCUGUUGUUGGAGAAGAAUGUAUCUGAUAGUAACUGAUCAGGUAGUGACGGUAUCCAACCAGAAAGCCACGGCUAACUACGUGCCAGCAGCCGCGGUAAUACGUAGGUGGCAAGCGUUGUCCGGAUUUAUUGGGCGUAAAGCGAGCGCAGGCGGUUUCUUAAGUCUGAUGUGAAAGCCUUCGGCUCAACCGAAGAAGUGCAUCGGAAACUGGGAAACUUGAGUGCAGAAGAGGACAGUGGAACUCCAUGUGUAGCGGUGAAAUGCGUAGAUAUAUGGAAGAACACCAGUGGCGAAGGCGGCUGUCUGGUCUGUAACUGACGCUGAGGCUCGAAAGCAUGGGUAGCAAACAGGAUUAGAUACCCUGGUAGUCCACGCCGUAAACGAUGA